Protopterus annectens (West African lungfish) is the source of this 391-nucleotide long non-coding RNA. RefSeq lists it as uncharacterized. The transcript is spliced from 3 exons. Lineage: Eukaryota; Metazoa; Chordata; Ceratodontiformes; Protopteridae. The record is from RefSeq and is a predicted model, not a curated record.
UCCUUUUUGAUAAGUACCGUGGGAUCUCUAACAUCCACGUAAACCACUAACAGCUUAGACAGACGGAACCUUUCUUAGAGUGUGUUUUUUUCAGAAAUAAUUAAAACAGAAGUGAUCCCGUUUACAAGGGUAGUUAGCUGUAUAAGGAAGCUGAGUGACUUGUAACGCUGCAUCAUCGGCAAGUGAGGGCUGCGGUCCAUUGAAAUCCUGUUUGUGAGUCAUUUCUAUGUGUUAGCAUUAUCAUGGUGCACCAGACGUAAUCUUUUUCUGAACACAACCACUAAACUUUGAGCUAUGAAAGUGUACAGCAUCACAACCCUGUGAAUCAGGUUAACUCUGAGAAGGAUCAUAGGAUUCUCUGAAACCCAGGAAAUAUGUGGGCGGUGAUAUC